CCUACGGUGGGCAGCAGUCGAGAAUCAUUCACAACGGGGGAAACCCUGAUGGUGCGACGCCGCGUGGGGGAAUGAAGGUCUUCGGAUUGUAAACCCCUGUCAUGUGGGAGCAAAUUAAAAAGAUAGUACCACAAGAGGAAGAGACGGCUAACUCUGUGCCAGCAGCCGCGGUAAUAAAGAGGUCUCAAGCGUUGUUAGGAAUCACUGGGCGUAAAGCGUGCGUAGGCUGUUUCGUAAGUCGUGUGUGAAAGGCGCGGGCUCAACCCGCGGACGGCACAUGAUACUGCGAGAAUAGAGUAAUGGAGGGGGAACCGGAAUUCUCGGUGUAGCAGUGAAAUGCGUAGAUAUCGAGAGGAACACUCGUGGCGAAGGCGGGUUCCUGGACAUUAACUGACGCUGAGGCACGAAGGCCAGGGGAGCGAAAGGGAUUAGAUACCCGUGUAGUC
Molecule: ribosomal RNA, 446 nt
Filed under: uncultured bacterium
Lineage: Bacteria
Description: partial 16S ribosomal RNA
Rfam family: Bacterial small subunit ribosomal RNA
Source: RNAcentral